CUCGUAGGCGGUUUGGUCAGUCAGAUGUGAAAGCCCACGGCUCAACCGUGGAACUGCAUUUGAUACUGCCAGACUUGAGUGUCGGAGAGGGUGGCGGAAUUCCGGGUGUAGGAGUGAAAUCCGUAGAUAUCCGGAGGAACACCAGUGGCGAAGGCGGCCACCUGGACGACAACUGACGCUGAGGAGCGAAAGCGUGGGGAGCAAACA
This 207-nucleotide ribosomal RNA is filed under the name uncultured delta proteobacterium. Its description in RNAcentral is "partial 16S ribosomal RNA". It matches the Rfam family "Bacterial small subunit ribosomal RNA", at positions 568 to 774 of the family's 1533-position model. Lineage: Bacteria; Deltaproteobacteria. The record is from RNAcentral.